GAUGAAGAACGUAGCGAAAUGCGAUACGUAAUGUGAAUUGCAGAAUUCAGUGAAUCAUCGAAUCUUUGAACGCUUAUUGCGCUCUCUGGUAUUCCGGAGAGCAUGCUUGUUUGAGUAUCAGUAAACACCUCAACUUCCAUAUCUUGUUUUGAAAUGGGAGUUGGACUUGAGUGAUCCCAACGCUUUUCCUCACCGAAAAGUGGCGGGUUACUUGAAAUGCAGGUGCAGCUGGACUUUUCUCUGAGCUAUAAGCAUAUCUAUUUAGUCUGCCUAAAAAACAGAUUAUUACCUUUGCUGCAGCUAACAUAAAGGAGAUUAGUUCUUCUGCUGACUGAUGCAGGAUUCACAAAGACAGCUUCGGCCGACUUUGUAAACUCGAUCUCAAAUCAAGUAAGACUACCCGCUGAACUUAAGCAUAUCAAUAAGCGGAGGA
RNAcentral lists this unclassified non-coding RNA (433 nucleotides) under soil metagenome. RNAcentral's name for it is "partial contains 5.8S ribosomal RNA, internal transcribed spacer 2, and large subunit ribosomal RNA". The stretch from base 1 to 120 matches the Rfam family "5.8S ribosomal RNA", at positions 35 to 154 of the family's 154-position model. The record is from RNAcentral.